UUGAUUAAUUGAUUAUUAAAUUGACUGUUUGCUAAAAUGGAAGUGAAUUACUCUUGUGUUUGGAAAAUUAAUUCCCUACAGGUGAUUAUUUUCUUUUCAGUGUACAUUAGUCAGCAUAAAUGCAAUAUCACCCAGAGAUACAUGACUACUUAUUCCCUUUUAUGAUGUGAGAGAACACUCAAUUUUGAGAGAACACUCAAUUUUGAGAGAACACUCAACCUGACUGAAGUAGUGUUUGGAAGGUGUGGGACCAAAUUCGAGCUGGCUUUUGAAAGAUACCUCCAUGGUUCCCAUUGAAAAUAGUCAGUUUGGGAUUAAUUUGGAUACACUAUUGCCUCUACAGAGUCCACCUGUUCCUUUGCUUCAUUUUGGCCCUGGUGAAACUCUUCUUCCAGGUACAGACAACUUGACAGAGCAAUAAGAUCCUAGACUCCGGAAUCAGACAGAACUGGAUGUCAGGACCAACCCUGUCUAUUUUAGCACUGUGACCCUCAAAAAGCCAUUUGAAUGAUGUCAGACUGUUAUUUCAAUGAAAAAAUUAAUAAUUUACUUGAUAAUUCUGACCUCACAAGUAUAUUAUGAAAAUAAAAU
RNAcentral lists this long non-coding RNA (591 nucleotides) under Ovis aries (sheep). RNAcentral's name for it is "lncRNA (ENSOARG00000025797.1)". Lineage: Eukaryota; Metazoa; Chordata; Mammalia; Artiodactyla; Bovidae. The record is from RNAcentral.